CCUACGGGAGGCAGCAGUGAGGAAUAUUGGUCAAUGGGCGAGAGCCUGAACCAGCCAAGUCGCGUGAGGGAGUACUGCCCUAUGGGUUGUAAACCUCUUUUGUCGGGGAGCAAAAGCCGGACGUGUCCGGCUGUGAGAGUACCCGAAGAAAAAGCAUCGGCUAACUCCGUGCCAGCAGCCGCGGGAAUACGGAGGAUGCGAGCGUUAUCCGGAUUUAUGGGGUUUAAAGGGUGCGCAGGCGGAUUUUUAAGUCAGCGGUCAAAUCGUGGGGCUCAACCCCAUCCAGCCGUUGAAACUGGGGAUCUAGAGUGUGCGAGAGGUAUGCGGAAUGCGUGGUGUAGCGGUGAAAUGCAUAGAUAUCACGCAGAACCCCGAUUGCGAAGGCAGCAUACCGGUGCACAACUGACGCUCAGGCACGAAAGCGUGGGUAUCGAACAGGAUUAGAUACCCCGGUAGUC
Molecule: ribosomal RNA, 458 nt
Filed under: uncultured bacterium
Lineage: Bacteria
Description: partial 16S ribosomal RNA
Rfam family: Bacterial small subunit ribosomal RNA
Source: RNAcentral